Mobula hypostoma (lesser devil ray) is the source of this 794-nucleotide long non-coding RNA. RefSeq lists it as uncharacterized. The transcript is spliced from 3 exons. Lineage: Eukaryota; Metazoa; Chordata; Chondrichthyes; Myliobatiformes; Myliobatidae. The record is from RefSeq and is a predicted model, not a curated record.
UCCAGGUCUGUUAAUCUGAAUCAAUAGUGUGGCUGGAGCCACACUGUGUUGAGUGGGCUGCAAAAAGGACCGUCAUCAGGACUGUGACAGGGGCUCCAGGUGGCUAUGGAUCAAGAAGCGUGACCCGUGGACCAGUGCUGCUGAGACGCAAGCCAGGGCCUGGUCAACUCUGGCUGGAUCACCUGCGUGAGAGUGUCUGAUGUUGAAAGACCCGCGACAAUGAUCCCGGGUUACAUCACCGGUGUGGUGAACUGGGGACCAAGACUUGGGCCUACUCCAGCUGCUCUGGGAGUGGAUCUGGGACUCGGUCUCAUUUGGGAUGCUGUUGGAUAGCUUCUAUAGUUUGCAUGAUAUGCAUUUUAUUUUCUCUCUUUCUCUGCGCAGUGGUUUUCGGUUUUUUUUAAAUUGGAUUAUUUGGGGCUCUUGCUUUGUGGCUGCCUGUAAGCAGACAAAUUUCAAGGUAUAUAAUUGAUACAUUCUUUGUUAAUAGAUGUUAUUUGAAUCUUAGAAGACAACAGAAAAUUGUCAGACCAAACCUGAGAAUAAUAAUAACUGUAUCUGAAUGUAUUUCAAUAACAAAUUAGUGAAAUAGAACAUUGAACAGUACCGAACAGGAACAUACCCUUUGGCCCUCAAUGUUAUACCAAACCAACUAAAAAGUAAAUCAGAAAAACCCCAAAAAGUAAUCCCUCCUUCCCACACUUUGUCCAUAUAUAGAACAUGGAUAAUAAUAUGUAAAGAAUCAUUUGAAAUAUUUAUUUAUGAGUGAGCCAGUUUUUUUUAUUUCUACACAA